GAUGAUCGGGCUGUGGCAUCUGUCAUCUUCAGGAUUGCCAGGGUUGAUUUGGCUGGUAGGACCGCCGUGGCAGCUGUCUCCUUCCCUC
Unclassified non-coding RNA from Mustela putorius furo (domestic ferret), 88 nucleotides. Its record names the gene 7SK. It matches the Rfam family "7SK RNA". From Rfam's summary of the family: 7SK was discovered as an abundant small nuclear RNA in the mid-70s but a possible function has only recently been suggested. Two independent studies have found that 7SK RNA binds the CDK9/cyclin T complex (known as elongation factor P-TEFb). The record is from Ensembl. Lineage: Eukaryota; Metazoa; Chordata; Mammalia; Carnivora; Mustelidae.